UACGAAGGUGGCAAGCGUUGUUCGGAUUUACUGGGCGUACAGGGAGCGUAGGCGGUUGGAUAAGCCCUCCGUGAAAUCUCUAGGCUUAACCUGGAAAGUGCAGAGGGGACUGUUCAGCUAGAGGAUGGGAGAGGAGCGCGGAAUUCCCGGUGUAGCGGUGAAAUGCGUAGAGAUCGGGAGGAAGGCCGGUGGCGAAGGCGGCGCUCUGGAACAUUUCUGACGCUGAGGCUCGAAAGCGUGGGGAGCAAACAGG
RNAcentral lists this ribosomal RNA (253 nucleotides) under uncultured bacterium. Its description in RNAcentral is "partial 16S ribosomal RNA". It matches the Rfam family "Bacterial small subunit ribosomal RNA", at positions 524 to 776 of the family's 1533-position model. The record is from RNAcentral.